AGGACCGUAGCUCAGUGGGAGAGCGCCACCUUGACGCGGUGGAGGUCAGGGGUUCGAAACCCCUCGGUCCUA
Molecule: transfer RNA, 72 nt
Filed under: Desulfurobacterium pacificum
Lineage: Bacteria; Pseudomonadati; Aquificota; Aquificia; Desulfurobacteriales; Desulfurobacteriaceae
Also listed under: 2 other names
Description: tRNA_Val_GAC
Rfam family: tRNA
About the family: Transfer RNA (tRNA) molecules are approximately 80 nucleotides in length.
Source: RNAcentral